GCCAAACAGACGAGAGAGGGCUUCCGGACGGAAACGUUUGGGGGCCUUUUCUUUUGCCGCUAUGAAUCCUUCUUCGU
RNAcentral lists this unclassified non-coding RNA (77 nucleotides) under Methylorubrum extorquens DM4. RNAcentral describes it as "counter-transcribed RNA ctRNA". The stretch from base 15 to 57 matches the Rfam family "ctRNA". From Rfam's summary of the family: This family represents a group of ctRNAs (or counter-transcribed RNAs) from p42d and related plasmids. ctRNAs are small, highly structured, antisense sequences which are involved in negative regulation. The record is from RNAcentral. Lineage: Bacteria; Pseudomonadati; Pseudomonadota; Alphaproteobacteria; Hyphomicrobiales; Methylobacteriaceae.